UGGGAUUGCAAUGUAACAAGUGGACGCCA
RNAcentral lists this non-coding RNA (29 nucleotides) under Homo sapiens (human). The record is from RNAcentral. Lineage: Eukaryota; Metazoa; Chordata; Mammalia; Primates; Hominidae.